GUGAUGUUGCUGCUGCUGCUGCUGCUGUUGGAGCAACUGUUGCUGAUGUGCUGCCACGGCGGCAUGGUACAUGUGUUGCUGUUGCUGCUGCUGCUGCUGCGCCUGGUGAUGCUGCUGCUGAGAAUGGCUGUGCUGCUGCUGUUGUUGCUGCUGCUGCUGCUGCUGCUGCUGCAAGGCAUUCAAGGCGGCAGCGGACAUGCCGUGGGAAAGGGACGACAUGUCAUAGCUAGCAUAACAGGCGGCCAUCGUCA
Molecule: small RNA, 251 nt
Filed under: Drosophila guanche
Lineage: Eukaryota; Metazoa; Arthropoda; Insecta; Diptera; Drosophilidae
Source: RNAcentral